AUUGAACGCUGGCGGCAGGCCUAACACAUGCAAGUCGAACGGUAACAGGAAGCAGCUUGCUGCUUCGCUGACGAGUGGCGGACGGGUGAGUAAUGUCUGGGAAACUGCCUGAUGGAGGGGGAUAACUACUGGAAACGGUAGCUAAUACCGCAUAACGUCGCAAGACCAAAGAGGGGGACCUUAGGGCCUCUUGCCAUCGGAUGUGCCCAGAUGGGAUUAGCUAGUAGGUGGGGUAACGGCUCACCUAGGCGACGAUCCCUAGCUGGUCUGAGAGGAUGACCAGCCACACUGGAACUGAGACACGGUCCAGACUCCUACGGGAGGCAGCAGUGGGGAAUAUUGCACAAUAGGCGCAAGCCUGAUGCAGUCAUGCCGCGUGUAUGAAGAAGGCCUUCGGGUUGUAAAGUACUUUCAGCGGGGAGGAAGGGAGUAAAGUUAAUACCUAUGCUCAUUGACGUUACCCGCAGAAGAAGCACCGGCUAACUCCGUG
This 490-nucleotide ribosomal RNA is filed under the name uncultured bacterium. RNAcentral's name for it is "partial 16S ribosomal RNA". It matches the Rfam family "Bacterial small subunit ribosomal RNA", at positions 30 to 507 of the family's 1533-position model. The record is from RNAcentral.